Molecule: long non-coding RNA, 1384 nt
Organism: Capsicum annuum
Lineage: Eukaryota; Viridiplantae; Streptophyta; Magnoliopsida; Solanales; Solanaceae
Exons: 2
Source: RefSeq, a predicted model, not a curated record
GAUAAAGUAAGAAAAGGAAAGAGAUAAAUAUCGUGGAGUGAAAAGAGAUAAGUUACAUAUGGUAACGUUAAAAAGACGGUAGUGACUUGACCUCACUAAAAAUAUUGUUAUUUUUGCUAUAAAACUUAAUUUUGUAAAAAUAUUGUUAUUAAGCUUAAUUAUGAACACAAGUUUGCUACACAUUUUUUUCCUUAGAUUUAAAGCAAGUGCUUAAUCGUUUAUUUUAGCUUAAAAUAAAUUAACAAAUCCAAACAGACUCUUAUAGUAACACUUUGUCCAUACACUGCCUACUGUUGGUCUCCCUAUCUCAUGAAGCGUCCCCUCUGUAUGUUUGUCCUUUCGAUUACUCGAUGGGCUUAGUCUCCACUAAGCAUAUAUCUGCACAUGUAAGUAAUCCUUGAAGUAUGUUGGAGUUACUUAGUUUAGUUACGAAAACAGUGUAAAUAUAUUGUUGUUCUUGUAUGUGUAUUAAAGGAUCAGUUUAGUAUUUGGGCCAGUUGUAGAGCAGUAGCCCAUUUUUUUUUCCGGAUUGUUGGCUCAUUCAUGUAUAAAGUAGAUCACUGGAUCCUUCCAAGAGACAAUAGAAAAAGAUUUUUUUCUAAUUCACAUUUUUUCUCUCUCUUCUCUUUAUCUCAUCUCUCUCGAAGCUUCUGUUAAGAUUUACUUCUUCAGCUAAUCUGUAACGAUCUCGAUAGUUUGAUAUAGUAUCAGAGCAGAGAUCCAUGGUGGUCGUUGGAUUUUGCAUCUUUCGAUGGUACCCUUGUGGUAUUUUAUGGAGUAUUUUCUAAUCUACGGUGUUUGCUCGUUCAUUGGAUUUUUGAUCUUCGGGGCAUAGUAUUCUAUCGUGUUUGGUUUGUACUGGAUUUCUCUUGUUACGCCAAGGUUGUUGCCGUUUUCAAUUGUAAAAACAGGGGUAUUUUGUGACAACCAAGCUGCUAUCCACAUUGCUCGGAACCCUGUAUUUCAUGAGCGAACUAAACAUAUCGAGGUGGACUGCCAUUUUAUUCGUACGAAGUUGUCUGAUGAUUUGAUUGAAUUGCUUCAUGUCCCUACAGGUUCUCAACUGGCCGAUAUUUUCACUAAGCCGCUUACUGACAUUAUUCAUCAUCCUCUUUUGCUCAAGUUGGGUGUUCAGGCCCCCUCCAACUUGUGGGGGGUGUUGGAGUUAAUUAGUUUAGUUAUGAAAACAGUGUAAAUAUAUUGUUGUUCUUGUAUGUGUAUUAAAGGAUCAGUUUAGUAUUUGGACCAGUUGUAGAGCAGUAGCCUAUUUUUCUUUUCAGGGUUGUUGGCCCAUUCAUGUAUAAAGUGGAUCACUGGAUCCUUCCAAGAGACAACAGAAAAAAGAUUUUUUCCUAAUUCACAUUUUUUUUCUCUCUUUUCUUUA